CGAGACGAGGACGUAGAUAGGCCGGGUGUGUAAGCGUUGCGAGACGUUGAGCUAACCGGUACUAAUGAGCCGUGCGGCUUAACCUG
RNAcentral lists this ribosomal RNA (86 nucleotides) under Xenorhabdus sp. BG5. RNAcentral describes it as "partial 23S ribosomal RNA". It matches the Rfam family "Bacterial large subunit ribosomal RNA", at positions 2840 to 2925 of the family's 2925-position model. The record is from RNAcentral. Lineage: Bacteria; Pseudomonadati; Pseudomonadota; Gammaproteobacteria; Enterobacterales; Morganellaceae.